UUGUAUGAUGAUAAAGAGCCCAGGCGGCUCGAAAUUUUUAAACCCAGCUCGUCGACUUGUCUCCUUUAACGCGGGAGAGUAUCAUGAGAUGAAAGUUUAAUCUGAUCC
Small nucleolar RNA from Lipomyces starkeyi NRRL Y-11557, 108 nucleotides. It matches the Rfam family "A. fumigatus snoRNA Afu_304". The record is from Rfam. NCBI's taxonomy places the organism in Eukaryota, Fungi, Ascomycota, Lipomycetes, Lipomycetales, Lipomycetaceae.